UUAUAUGUUAUUACCACAAAAGACAUGAUUGGUAAAUAGUUUUUAGGUUGUUAUUUGACACAAAAAAGAACAAGAUUUUAGUGUUGAAACCAUACCGGAAAACUGUAUGGAUAUUGUUAAAUUUCCAAUGGAUGCGUAGGCACAUAAAUACUCACUGCCUCUUAUCCACUAUUUGUUUGCUGAUGUAUACUAACCACUAUAAACGUACGAAUUAAGUACAGUUUACAUUUCAACUCCAUUUUGCAUUAUACGAAUUGCUUUUACUUUAUAACUAUGCUUUUAUUUGGUCUCAGACAAAAAAAAAUCAAAUCAACAUUUCUCUACAUGAUUUAAUUGAAUUUGAUUCAUUUAUCCAAUUUCUCAAUUACGUAUUUGUUUUGUUAGUUUGUACAUUGAAAAGUGCAUUUAUCAAAGUCGACAAUUCGACAAGCUUAAAUUCAAGUUUGUGGGAUUGCAACCCUUCGGAAAUAUCCACAAAGGAGUAGAAUGAUUUCUACUAAAUAUAAAUGAUACUAUACACUAUGCAAAAAAAUUGUUCUUUUAUUUUUUGUAAGAAAUUUAGUUCUCUACAAUAUUGUCCUCUUGACUUUUUUUCGUAAAAUUGAAAAUAACAAAGUUAUUGAUAAAAAACGACGAAAAUUGAAACAGCAAAUUCCUUCAAGUGGUUAUAACUUUUUUUCUUUUCAUUUUUCCGGAAAAUAGGUCAAGAUCAAAUUGGUAAAGAAUUUUGAGACAAAUAAAUUUCAUCCUCCAUUUUUCCAAUAGCGUUUAUUUUGAAGAUUUUACGGCGUCUCAAAAUUGACAAUAUCACUUGUGCGAAAUAUUUCAGUUGAAAGCCUACACAUCGUUUUUCCGUUGUAACAGGAAAACUAUAUUUCCCGUGAAAAUAUUGUUCAAUUAUUUUUUGUAAGAAAUUUAGUUCUGUACAAUAUUGCCCCCUUGACUUUUUUUCGUAAAAUUGAAAAUAACAAAGUUAUUGAUAAAAAACGAUGAAAAUUGAAACAGCAAAUUCCUUCAAGUGGCUAUAACUUUUUUCUUUUUCAUUUUUCCGGAAAAUAGGUCUAGACCGAUUUGGUAGAGAAUUUUGAUACUAAUAAAUUUCCUCCAUUCUUCCAAUUGCGGAUAUCAUAAGAAUUUCACAGCGCCUCAAAUUUGACAAUAUCAAUUGUGCGAAAUAUUUCAGUUGAAAGCCUACACAUCGUUUUUCUGUUAUAACAGGAAAACUAUUUUUCCCGCAAAAAUAUUGCUCAAUAACUUUUUGGAAAAAAUUUAAUUCUCUACAAUAUUGUCCCCUGACUUUUUUUCGUAAAAUUGAAAAUAACAAAGUAAUUAACAUAAAACAAUAUUAAUUACUUUAAAUCGCUAAAUGUUCAUCUUAAAACGCAAAAAAUGGACAAAUAAAAAUUUGCAAUGACUUUGUUAUUUUCAAUUUUGCGAAAAAAGUUGAGAGAGAAAAUUUAUAGAGAAUUUAAUUUCCUACAAAAAAUAAUAAAAUAAUUAAUAUUUUUACGCGGUGUAUAGUUGUAUUGCUAUUUUUCAAAAACUUCACUCCUUUCACAAAAUUUCGCAAGCCCACAAAUUUGGUUUCAAGUUUCGUAUACAAUCCCCUAUGGAUAAAAAAAAUUAAUAACUCUGAUAAAUGCAAGGUUAGGGCAUAUUUUUGUAACAUUCCAAUGGGCUAAGUACACAGUACUUCAUACUGUGUCUCCAAUAACAUUUAGUACAAAUGGAUACACAUGUUAAAACAGUUUAUUCUAACUGAGUAAUAGACUAUAUUUUCUCCACGACAAGUUUCAAAAUCUGAAUUUCUGACAAAUGUCAUAGAAAGAUGUCACUUUUUUUAAUCAAUAUUCAUUUUAAUGGGUGAUAAAACGCACUAUUGGUCUAGUUUAUGCAGUAUACAGUACAGUAAGGAUAAAUAACCACUGAUGUUUAGUGCUUUAUAUUAACUUUGAUGACAAGAACAGGGAAAGACUUCGGAGGUGGUUUACAAGAAUGUUUGGAAAAGCUGCCAAAUUUGAUUAAUAUGAAUAAGAAGUAAAAAAAUUGAAAAAAUAUAUUUAUUUAGAAGACAAUAAGUGAGUGAGAGUCUUUAGAAGAUCUGCCGUUUUUUACUUCACCACUUCCAUUGACUCAAAUCGGGUUCCUUUCAAAGCAGAUCUUUUUUCUAACCUUUCAAGGAAAUCUGAGCAGACCCGUUGACGUAAGAGCUUUUGGUCAGUAGUCAGAUUUUUGUCAUGUGUAAUUCCUCGUGUAAAAUUUUUCUAACCGUUUCUUUAUCAGUGUUGGCAGCCUCGGCAUCAUCCGGAUGCUCAUUCGACGAUUAGCACGUACAAUUUGGUGGAUUUCGGUCACUGUUCCCGGAGUUGAAAAAAUCACAGGACGCCCUGGGCACUAGUCAUCUUCAGUGCUCUUUCGGCCCUCACUGAAGCGCUUACACCACUCAAAAACACGGGCACGAGAUAGAGAAUUGUCACCAUAGGCCUCUUACAAUAAUUUAUAGCAGUCAGUCGGAGUUUUUUUCAAUUUAAUACGUUCGUUUCAACGGCACCAAUACUAUAAUAGUGAUGGAAACGUGUUUUGGGACGUGCAUUGACAAGAUACCCAUCUAGGUCGUCCUCUAGGCGAACAGUCUCGUUAUUUAAUAGCCAGACCUCGUAUGUUGGACCAAAGACCAAUAAACAACAUAUAUAGAAAGUAAAAA
This is a long non-coding RNA of Diorhabda carinulata, 2704 nucleotides long. RefSeq lists it as uncharacterized. The record is from RefSeq and is a predicted model, not a curated record. NCBI's taxonomy places the organism in Eukaryota, Metazoa, Arthropoda, Insecta, Coleoptera, Chrysomelidae. The transcript is spliced from 2 exons.